This 1263-nucleotide long non-coding RNA is filed under the name Homo sapiens (human). RNAcentral's name for it is "HSALNT0056465". The record is from RNAcentral. Lineage: Eukaryota; Metazoa; Chordata; Mammalia; Primates; Hominidae.
CCUUGAACACUUAUCUCAUUCCAGAUCUGGCAAGUACUGAUUUUGAAUGAUUACAUCUUUCUUUAUGCUCACAUGGCACAUUUUUCCUGCCUCCUUCAUGUUUUCCUCUUGUUCCUGAGACAAGAGAUGCAACUGGGACACAUCAGGGCUUCCUUAUGUGCAACCUGAAAGUGUGUGUUGGCAGACUGAGGUACAGCAGUUCAUGCCGCCUUUUGAAGAUGGCAAAAUUGCGCUUGAUGCAGAGUGUUGACAGCUUGGGAAUGCACCUGCAUGUUUUUGCUCUCCCUCUGUCUCUUUACUCUGGUUCUGACUUCCUUGGGAGAGCACUUCCUAAUAAAGAAUUAGCACAUAAACUUUUUCUUGAGAUUCUACGCCUUUUAUAGCUAGGAGAAUAACCAAUUCCAAAAAAAUAUAUAUAUAUAUAUAGACCCUUUGGAUUGCAGAUAACUUCAUUAAAGCUUUGGAAAAGCAAGGACACAUAGUUCUUCAAAACUGUUUCUAUGGAGAUUUAAGGAAUAAAUGUUUGCAGACUUCAGCCUUUUAACUUAAAAAAAAAAACAACCUUUCUGGUUGCAAACACAAUAAAGAUCAGUAAGCCCAGCUUCUGAGUUAUGGUUCAUGGUCUGAUACCCGGAGCCAAGUCCUCUGGCUACUUCAGAAGGAGGGAAUGUAGGUUUUCCUUCUUUGCACUUCCGGUAGAUGCUGUUUACAGAUGGGUGGAAGAUCAGCAAACUUUCUCAGGGAAAGCAUAAUGUGAUUAAAACAUAAAAAGCAAAUAGAAGUUGGCAAGGGAAAGGGAAGUGAGGAAUUUGGGAGUAAUACUAGAUGACUAGAAAUCAGGAUGACUAGAAAUCAGGAGAGCACAGUUGCAUUCACGAAACUGGAUUCAAUAUGGUCACGUUAUAAAGUGAUGGCUGAGGGUGUGGUGAGAGAUGAGACUAGAGAGGAAGGAGAAGACUAAGUCUGAGCUAUUUGAGUUGGUGGCCACUAGCUAUAUGUGGCUACUUAAAUGUAAGUUAACUGUAAUUAAAGAUUUCAGUCUUCAUUCACAUUAGCCACAUUCGAAGUGUUCAGUAGCCCCAUGUGGCUAGUAGCCACUACCUUGGACAGAGCAGAAACAUCAUAGAAAGUUUUCAUUGGGCACAACUUGGAUAGUUUUCUAAAGGUGUUCUAAGGUAUUCUUAUGCAAUAACCAUUUGUAUUUAUUGACAGAUUUAAAGCAGUGUGUUUCUUUCAAAAGCAUCAAUUUAAAGGGAAAGAUGG